RNAcentral lists this long non-coding RNA (223 nucleotides) under Gallus gallus (chicken). The record is from RNAcentral. Lineage: Eukaryota; Metazoa; Chordata; Aves; Galliformes; Phasianidae.
GCCGCCGCGCCCAGCCCGCACCUGCCCGGUGAAUAAUGCACUAGAAUGUCAGCGCUGAGAAAGGAUUUCUCAUCCUCUGAAGCACGAGAGUAGCUACCACGAGCUCACCUACUGCUACUACAUGGGACUGCCUGCAGCGGGCACGAGGCUUAGACAUUAUGGGGACAAUUCAGGUGCUGCCUGGCAUACUGCAGAAGCAUUGCUGUAUUUUACCUGACCGGAA